Non-coding RNA from Peromyscus maniculatus bairdii (prairie deer mouse), 898 nucleotides. The record is from RefSeq and is a predicted model, not a curated record. Lineage: Eukaryota; Metazoa; Chordata; Mammalia; Rodentia; Cricetidae.
CACUCUUAUGACAUCAUCUAACCUGCAAAAACUUUCAAAGACCCUACUAUGCUGCCUGUGAUAGCUCCACACUGGGAGCUGGUGUGGUAAUGAAUUUAACAGUUUUGCAGCAUCUUUCUUCUAGGUUUGGAGAGCAAGGCUCUAAUGAGCAUUUGGAGAUCAAAGAAAUAACUCCAGGUCUCUAUGGCUGGUAUUGAGAUUAAAGGUGUGUGUCUCCAUGCUGGCUGUGUCCUUGAACACACAGAGAUUCUGCCUGUCUUGUGAUGAGGAUUAAGAGCAUUGCUACCACUGCCAGACUUCUGCUAAAUGGUUUGCUAUUAGCUCUGACCCCCAGAAAACUGUGAAGCACAUAAAACAAUCUACAGGAAGUGGAAAAGAUUUCUUCUCAUUACUGGCCUUGAGGCAAUUUUUUAAGCUGCCAUAAACUGACAAACAGACAUGAUGGAUAUCAUUAUAAAAUACACUGGGUUGGAAAAUGGAGCACGGAAUGAAAUGGUCCACAUCAAAGGAUGUGCCUUACAGGAACUACACAUGGUAAAUAGCUACAGGACCUGUGCGUUGAUGAGGCCUGCCUUCCUGCAAAAUGUCAGCUGUUAGGGCUCUAGACUUUACUACACACUUCGGGUUUGACGCCUCGCGAUGAUCUACAAGUCGCUGUUUUAGCUGCCUGUUUCCUCGCUGGAAGGAGAGACCCAACAAAAGCAACCCAGGCAAGGAAAGUUUUGUUUCAGUUUGAAAGUAUAGGCCAUCAUGGGAGAGCGGUCAUGGUGACAGGAGCUCGGGGCAGCUGCUCACAUCGCAUCUGCAGCUAGACAGCGAAGACAGAUGGCUGCCCAUGUUCAGCUUUUCUUCCUUUUUAUGGAGUCCAGUGUCCAUCUGUGGAGUGACUCUGCCUCCA